Molecule: long non-coding RNA, 508 nt
Filed under: Cricetulus griseus (Chinese hamster)
Lineage: Eukaryota; Metazoa; Chordata; Mammalia; Rodentia; Cricetidae
Description: lncRNA (ENSCGRG00015042667.1)
Source: RNAcentral
UUUUCCAAAAACAGUAAGAAAAUGUUGGUAUUAUUUUAUACUUUUCAAAUUUCUUCUCUGUUUUUCCAUUUGAUUUGUUAUAAUACGUUGUUUGGUUGGAACAUGGAAGGAAAUUUGGCUCCAUGAAGCCAUUAGAUGGAAAAAAGUGGCUCCUGUACAGACACCACGAAAGGAUCCUAGAGAUACCUGGGAUCUUCACAGCAGUAUUUGUGGGAACAAACUAAGAAAGGGAAAAAUAUAGAACAAGUUUGGUCCCACCAUCCCUAUCGAAAAAUACUUUAUCCGACUUCAAGUAAUUUACUUCAACCCUCUGCUCCUCAGUCUUCUCAUUUGCAAAAUGAAGAGAUCAGUGUUUCUCUCAACUGGACCCAUGAUGGAGUUUUGGGGAACAGUGAAGAUACAGUGGCUAAAUGACCUCAGAUCCUCUUCACUGUUCCUCGUGGUCAAUGAUAUCAUCUGAGAUUUUGAGUGUGGUAAAAUACAUCAUUUCCACUGAUUUCUCAAAAAC